RNAcentral lists this long non-coding RNA (454 nucleotides) under Brassica napus (rape). RNAcentral describes it as "long non-coding RNA (BNAP_LNC015953)". Lineage: Eukaryota; Viridiplantae; Streptophyta; Magnoliopsida; Brassicales; Brassicaceae. The record is from RNAcentral.
AUUAGAUUAAAUUAUAUCUUUGAAUUUGGUAGUUGUUAAUGCAAUUUAGAGUAUCCUUUUAGAAUUGGGGUUUUAUUGAUUUGAUAAUCCCUUUAAUUGUAGUAGGUUCCAUCUAAUAAGAUGUAAUAUCAUGGAAUUUACAAUUAAUUUAGACUAUUGAUUUGGUUUGGUUUGGUUUAUUAUCAUGGGAUUUACAAUUAAUUUGUAUCAGAGAAAAGCAUAGUGCUAUGCCUUAACUAUUUUAAAUCAAGUUAGUAUUGGUUACUUACAUUACGGUAUUUUGGUUAUAAAGAUGUCAAAAUUGAAUUAGUGAUAUGUCUAGAUUAAGCAUGUCGUUGCAAUAUGUAUGUUUUAGUAUAUAUAGUUUCACGUUCAUUAUGUCAACGUAAAAACAAACCUAAGAUUAAUCGAGAGUAACACGAGAAAAAACAUUAUGAUUGAAACAUUACAGUGA